This 433-nucleotide ribosomal RNA is filed under the name uncultured bacterium. Its description in RNAcentral is "partial 16S ribosomal RNA". It matches the Rfam family "Bacterial small subunit ribosomal RNA", at positions 29 to 507 of the family's 1533-position model. The record is from RNAcentral.
AACGAACGCUGGCGGCAUGCCUAACACAUGCAAGUCGAACGAGACCUUCGGGUCUAGUGGCGCACGGGUGCGUAACGCGUGGGAACCUGCCCUUAGGCUCGGAAUAACUCCCCGAAAGGGGUGCUAAUACCGGAUAAUGUCUUCGGACCAAAGAUUUAUCGCCUCUGGAUGGGCCCGCGUUGGAUUAGCUAGUUGGUAGGGUAAAAGCCUACCAAGGCGACGAUCCAUAGCUGGUCUGAGAGGAUGAUCAGCCACACUGGGACUGAGACACGGCCCAGACUCCUACGGGAGGCAGCAGUGGGGAAUAUUGGACAAUGGGCGAAAGCCUGAUCCAGCAAUGCCGCGUGAGUGAUGAAGGCCUUAGGGUUGUAAAGCUCUUUUACCCGGGAUGAUAAUGACAGUACCGGGAGAAUAAGCUCCGGCUAACUCCGUG